This 464-nucleotide ribosomal RNA is filed under the name uncultured bacterium. Its description in RNAcentral is "bacterial SSU rRNA". It matches the Rfam family "Bacterial small subunit ribosomal RNA", at positions 52 to 507 of the family's 1533-position model. The record is from RNAcentral.
CACAUGCAAGUCGAACGGCAGCGCGGGGGACAACCCUGGCGGCGAGUGGGCGAACGGGUGAGUAAUGCAUCGGAACGUAUCCUGGUAAUGGGGGAUAACGUAGCGAAAGUUACGCUAAUACCGCAUACGCUCGAGAGAGGAAAGUGGGGGAUCGCAAGACCUCACGUUAUAGGAGCGGCCGAUGUCCGAUUAGCUAGUUGGUGGGGUAAAGGCCUACCAAGGCGACGAUCGGUAGCUGGUCUGAGAGGAUUAUCAGCCACACUGGGACUGAGACACGGCCCAGACUCCUACGGGAGGCAGCAGUGGGGAAUUUUGGACAAUGGGCGAAAGCCUGAUCCAGCCAUGCCGCGUGCGGGAAGAAGGCCUUCGGGUUGUAAACCGCUUUAGUCCGGGAAAAAGGGGUGCGAGGAUAAUACCCUCGUGCUUUGAUGGUACUGGAAGAAUAAGCACCGGCUAACUACGUG